GCGCUCGUGGUCCAAAGGACACGACGCCUGCCUACGGAGCAGGAGAUGGGGGUUCGAUUCCUCUCGGGCGCG
Molecule: transfer RNA, 72 nt
Filed under: Candidatus Omnitrophota bacterium
Lineage: Bacteria; Pseudomonadati; Candidatus Omnitrophota
Description: tRNA-Arg
Rfam family: tRNA
About the family: Transfer RNA (tRNA) molecules are approximately 80 nucleotides in length.
Source: RNAcentral